This 264-nucleotide ribosomal RNA is filed under the name uncultured bacterium. Its description in RNAcentral is "partial 16S ribosomal RNA". It matches the Rfam family "Bacterial small subunit ribosomal RNA", at positions 793 to 1055 of the family's 1533-position model. The record is from RNAcentral.
GUCCUAGCCUUAAACGAUGCAUACUAGAUGUAGGCGGGCUCAACCCUGUCUGUAUCGGAGCUAACGCAUUAAGUAUGCCGCCUGGGGAGUACGCUCGCAAGGGUGAAACUCAAAAGAAUUGACGGGGGCCCCGCACAAGCAGUGUAGCAUGUGGUUUAAUUCGAUGCAACGCGAAGAACCUUACCUGGGCUCGAAAUGUAGAGGACGAUUACAGAGAUGUAAUUUCCCGAAAGGGUCUCUAUAUAGGUGCUGCAUGGCUGUCGU